UACGUAGGGUGCGAGCGUUGUCCGGAUUUAUUGGGCGUAAAGGGCUCGUAGGCGGCGUGUCGGCGUCGGGAGUGAAAGCCCGUUGCUUAACGGCGGGUUGGCUUUCGGUACGGGCAUGCUGGAGGUGCGGCGAGGGGAGACUGGAAUUCCUGGUGAUAGCGGUGGAAUGCGCAGAUAUCAGGGAGGGAACACCGGUGGGCGAAGGCGGGUCUCUGGGC
Molecule: ribosomal RNA, 218 nt
Filed under: uncultured bacterium
Lineage: Bacteria
Description: partial 16S ribosomal RNA
Rfam family: Bacterial small subunit ribosomal RNA
Source: RNAcentral